This 103-nucleotide microRNA precursor is filed under the name Cicer arietinum (chickpea). RNAcentral's name for it is "mir-395 microRNA precursor family". It matches the Rfam family "mir-395 microRNA precursor family". Rfam says of the family: mir-395 was identified in both Arabidopsis thaliana and Oryza sativa computationally and was later experimentally verified. mir-395 is thought to target mRNAs coding for ATP sulphurylases. The mature sequence is excised from the 3' arm of the hairpin. The record is from Rfam by way of RNAcentral. Lineage: Eukaryota; Viridiplantae; Streptophyta; Magnoliopsida; Fabales; Fabaceae.
UUGUCGCUUGGAGUUCUUCUGAAUGUUUCAUAUACGAGAAAUCAUCGAUUAGAUAAGAUAAUUUCUUCGUUUAUGAAGUGUUUGGGGGAACUCUUGGGUACAA